CGCCUGCGCUCCGUCAGAGGACGCGACCGCGCGCAGACCGCGUACCCGAAAGGGGGGCUUGGGGGACCCUGACCGCGACGGAAAGAGGGUCUCGGGAUUAAGAAAAAUGAGGUCACAGAGAAACAGUGUGCCAAAACAAGGACGUGGACUCGGAAGUGGACUUGGAACUGACUUCCAAGCACGAUGUCAUCAUUUAAGUUCAAAAACCACAGCUCCAGAAUCGUAUCAUUCUGCCAGUAAUCACAAGCUAAGAAGUUCGACUUUUACCCCCGGUGAGGGUUGGGGAGCGGAGAAAAGCCUUUAAUAUUGUUUAAACGGGGAAGGAGGCAGGGGAAAUAAGGUAACUAACCUUGCUGGGGUGGGGGAAUUUGAAGUCUAUCAAACAAUGAGUGGAAUGCCUACUGGAAUGUCUAAUGGAAUGCUUAUUAGGAUAUAAUUUUGAUCUUUUGAAAAGAUGCAACAAAUAUUUUCAAAUGAGUCCAUGUAAAAGUAUUUUGUAAAGUGUAUUUUAUGAUGUAAUAUGUUGUUUCUAUCCCAAACAUGUUUUUUUUACUA
This is a long non-coding RNA of Camelus dromedarius (Arabian camel), 555 nucleotides long. RefSeq lists it as uncharacterized. The transcript has 2 exons. NCBI's taxonomy places the organism in Eukaryota, Metazoa, Chordata, Mammalia, Artiodactyla, Camelidae. The record is from RefSeq and is a predicted model, not a curated record.